GACGAACGCUGGCGGCGUGCCUAAUACAUGCAAGUCGAACGAAGUGGCGAACGGGUGAGUCAUACGUGGGUAACCUGCCAUCCUUUUUGGGAUAAGCCUUAGAAACGGGGUCUAAUACCGAAUAAAGGGGGAUGGGCUGGCGGGCUAUCAGCUGGUUGGUGGGGUGAUGGCCUACCAAGGGGGUUACGGGUAGCCGGACUGAGAGGGCGACCAGCCACAUUGGGACUGAGACACGGUCCAGACUCCUACGGGAGGCAGCAGUGGGGAAUUUUUCACAAUGGGGGAAACCCUGAUGCAGCGACGCCGUGUGAUUUAGAAGGCCUUCGGGUUGUAAAAAUCUUUCAGUACCAUAAGAAGAAGGUCCGGCUAAAUACGUGCCAGCAGCCGCGGUAAUAC
RNAcentral lists this ribosomal RNA (396 nucleotides) under uncultured bacterium. RNAcentral's name for it is "partial 16S ribosomal RNA". It matches the Rfam family "Bacterial small subunit ribosomal RNA", at positions 28 to 526 of the family's 1533-position model. The record is from RNAcentral.